UGUUGCGGUUAAAAAGCUCGUAGUUGGAUCUCGGCGGGCAGGGGGUGGUUCGCUCUUCAGCGCUACUGCCCCGCUUUGCCCGUGUGAUUGGCGGAGGUUUCGGGGUGCUCUUCGUUGAGUGACUCGGAGCGCCGUCAGGUUUACUUUGAAAAAAUUAGAGUGCUCAAAGCAGGCUUUUCACGCUUGAAUAUUCGUGCAUGGAAUAAUGGAAUAGGAACUCGUUUCUAUUUUGUUGGUUUUCGGAAAUCGAGUUAAUGAUUAACAGGGACAAUUGGGGGCAUUAGUAUUCAGACGACAGAGGUGAAAUUCUUGGACCGUCUGAAGACUGACUACUGCGAAAGCAUUUGCCAAGAGUGUUUUCAUUAAUCAAGAACGAAAGUUAGAGGUUCGAAGGCGAUCAGAUACCGCCCUAGUUCUAACCAUAAACGAUGCCAGCUAGCGAUCUGCCGAGUUUUUUUUGUAGGCUCCGCAGGAAGCUUUCGGGAAACCAAAGCUUUUGGGUUCCGGGGGAAGUAUGGUUGCAAAGCUGAAACUUAAAGGAAUUGACGGAAGGGCACCACCAGGAGUGGAGCCUGCGGCUUAAUUUGACUCAACACGGGAAAUCUCACCAGGCCCGGACACUGGAAGGAUUGACAGAUUGAGAGCUCUUUCUCGAUUCGGUGGGUGGUGGUGCAUGGCCGUUCUUAGUUGGUGGAGUGAUUUGUCUGGUUAAUUCCGAUAACGAACGAGACUCUGUCCUGCUAAAUAGUUGGGUCGUCCUUCGUGCGAUCCAAGUUCUUCCUUAAAGGGACUGGCUGCGUCUAGCACCACGAGAU
This 815-nucleotide ribosomal RNA is filed under the name uncultured marine eukaryote. Its description in RNAcentral is "SSU rRNA". It matches the Rfam family "Eukaryotic small subunit ribosomal RNA", at positions 611 to 1444 of the family's 1831-position model. The record is from RNAcentral.